RNAcentral lists this ribosomal RNA (409 nucleotides) under uncultured Frankiales bacterium. RNAcentral describes it as "bacterial SSU rRNA". It matches the Rfam family "Bacterial small subunit ribosomal RNA", at positions 355 to 776 of the family's 1533-position model. The record is from RNAcentral. Lineage: Bacteria; Bacillati; Actinomycetota; Actinomycetes; Frankiales.
UGGGGAAUAUUGCGCAAUGGGCGAAAGCCUGACGCAGCGACGCCGCGUGAGGGAUGAAGGCAUUCGGGUUGUAAACCUCUUUCAGCAGGGACGAAGCGAAAGUGACGGUACCUGCAGAAGAAGCACCGGCCAACUACGUGCCAGCAGCCGCGGUAAUACGUAGGGUGCAAGCGUUGUCCGGAAUUAUUGGGCGUAAAGAGCUCGUAGGCGGUCUGUCGCGUCGGCUGUGAAAACUCGGGGCUCAACCCCGAGCCUGCAGUCGAUACGGGCAGACUAGAGUCCGGCAGGGGAGACUGGAAUUCCUGGUGUAGCGGUGAAAUGCGCAGAUAUCAGGAGGAACACCGGUGGCGAAGGCGGGUCUCUGGGCCGGAACUGACGCUGAGGAGCGAAAGCGUGGGGAGCGAACAGG